GCUAGUAAUCGUAGGUCAGCAUACUACGGUGAAUACGUUCCCGGGCCUUGUACACACCGCCCGUCAAACCAUGAGAGUUGGCAACACCCGAAGUCGGUAGUCUAACCGCAAGGAGGACGCCGCCGAAGGUGGGGUUAAUGAUUAGGGUUAAGUCGUAACAAGGUAAC
RNAcentral lists this ribosomal RNA (167 nucleotides) under uncultured bacterium. RNAcentral's name for it is "partial 16S ribosomal RNA". It matches the Rfam family "Bacterial small subunit ribosomal RNA", at positions 1334 to 1500 of the family's 1533-position model. The record is from RNAcentral.